This is a long non-coding RNA of Helianthus annuus (common sunflower), 417 nucleotides long. RefSeq lists it as uncharacterized. The transcript has 3 exons. NCBI's taxonomy places the organism in Eukaryota, Viridiplantae, Streptophyta, Magnoliopsida, Asterales, Asteraceae. The record is from RefSeq and is a predicted model, not a curated record.
GGUGUGAACCAUCGAAAUCGGUUGUUUUAAACAACCCCUCAACCUCUUUAAGUUACCACACAUUCAUAUAACAUCAUCGCACAACCUCCAAACUUCCAUCCUUUUGAGUCCAAAUCUAGGUCGAGGCAACCGAAGAUUUGUCACCGUUGCACCACCGGUUGAGAGCUCACAACGACUUCAAGUUUCGGUCUAUGGAACACGUCUCCGUUUGAUUAUUCGUAAGCUCAAAGUCAUUGGUUCGGUCAGAUCUAUUUGGUAAUUAAGCCAUCGCACACCCUCUAGUUUGAGCAAUCGCGGCCGCUGCCGUAUUCUUUUCUCGUCUUCGUGUGACCCGACCAGACGUUGAUACCGACUCUGACACACCAAAGUUUCUGCAUAGUAUUUGAUUCAGUUCCAUCUACUCCCAUUCUCUCGAGG